Molecule: long non-coding RNA, 463 nt
Filed under: Ananas comosus (pineapple)
Lineage: Eukaryota; Viridiplantae; Streptophyta; Magnoliopsida; Poales; Bromeliaceae
Description: long non-coding RNA (ACOM_LNC028783)
Source: RNAcentral
CAAUGAAGUUGUUUCAUGAUCAUGAUCAUCAUCAAAACCUUUUCCUGCCAAUCCAUUGUUGUUUGGUUGUAUAUGGUUGUAACUAUACUGUAUUUUCAAACUAAAUACAGAUCGAAAAUUGGUAUUUAGUUUGACGCAUUUAAAUCCAUUGUAGCUGUGGGAACUACACGAGCAGAUUCAGUUGUAUUAAUAAGAAUUACGCCCAUAUUGACCAUAGUUCCUACUAUAAUAGUUUGGGAGAAUAUAUAAAGUAAUAAAAGUUUGUAACCUCAACUGCGUGUAACCAAAUAAAAUAAUUUAUAAUUGCAUCAUUUUCUAUUAUCUUUAAACUUGUAACUAAUACAUUUCUAACUCCAUGAAUAUUCAACUAUACUGUAUUUUUAUUUACAUCCAAUCAAACGACCCCUAUAAUUGGUUAAUUUAGGAGGGAUAUUUUUGGGAUAAGAGCCUAUGAAGAGCUUUA